GCAGUGCAGCGCCUCCGCACCUUCCUCGUCUUCGCCACCGCCGAGCUCGUAUCCUCCGUGCAUGUCGCCGUUGACGGAGUUCCGUCCGCGCCGGCCAGAGAACAUCUCGCCGGCAUGCAGCUCCUCAAGCAUGUUCAGAACCUCCGUGCGGGCCUCCUCGGGCCCCACGCCGUCGCCGUCGCUGCAGCUCUGUCCGCGCUUUCCAUCCUUGACGUGGGGUUUGCCUCCGCCGCACGACGACCGGGAGCCUCGCGCGCGCUCGACAGCACCAAGACGAAUCUCCGCGUCCGUGUCGUCGCCUGGAGGUCGCACCAGGUGACGGCCGUCAUCGAAGCUAUGUCCGUGCCGCUCUGACCCGGCGCGGCGCACGCUGCUGUCGGCGACGACGUCUCCAGCACGUCCGAGACGCUCAGAUGGGCCGGCCUAGUCCACCUCGCCAUCCUCUCACAGUCCCAGUCGAGCGUCAGCCGUCGCAGCUAGCUGAUAACAGCCGUUGGAUCAAGAUCCUAGGGCCGCUUACCUCUUCGUCUUGUCCGACGCAAGUGGGCAGGCCAAGGUCGGUGCAGCCCAAGUAUUUUAGAUCUCAGCCAGAAAAGAUACGAACGCCGCCGAAAAAGAAGAUCGGAAUCAUCCCAGAGAUUCGAAGAUGAAGUCCAGGGACAAAUAGCCAACAAAGGCAAGCCACCUCUUGAUGCAUCUCUGAUCCUAUAUAUAUCUUACUCUUGCAUUAUUACAGGUUUUAUAAAGUGCAUUGUCUUUUUAUUUUCAUUUCGGUGGUUAGUGCCACCCGGAGUUUUAUUAAUCUACCCUUAGGGUGCAGCCCUCGUUGGUACC
This is a non-coding RNA of Lolium perenne, 834 nucleotides long. NCBI's taxonomy places the organism in Eukaryota, Viridiplantae, Streptophyta, Magnoliopsida, Poales, Poaceae. The record is from RefSeq and is a predicted model, not a curated record.